Molecule: ribosomal RNA, 497 nt
Filed under: uncultured bacterium
Lineage: Bacteria
Description: partial 16S ribosomal RNA
Rfam family: Bacterial small subunit ribosomal RNA
Source: RNAcentral
GGCGAACGCUGGCGGCGUGCCUAAUACAUGCAAGUAGAACGCUGAAGCGAGGAGCUUACUCUUCUUGGAUGAGUUGCGAACGGGUGAGUAACGCGUAGGUAACCUGCCUUGUAGCGGGGGAUAACUAUUGGAAACGAUAGCUAAUACCGCAUAACAAUGGAUGACACAUGUCAUUUAUUUGAAAGGGGCAAUUGCUCCACUACAAGAUGGACCUGGGGUGUAUUAGCUAGUAGGUGAGGUAAUGGCUCACCUAGGCGAAGGAACAUAGCCGACCCGAGGGGGGGAGCGGCCAACACUGGAACUGGGAAAGGGCCCGACUCCUUAGGGAAGCAGCAGUAGGGAAACCUCGGCAAUGGGGGCAACCCUGGCCGAGCAACGCCGCGGGAGGGAAGAAGGUUUUCGGGUCGGAAAGCUCUGGUGUAAGGCAAGAAAGGGUGGGAGAGGGGAAAGUGCACACUGUGACGGUAGCUAACCAGAAAGGGACGGCUAACUACGUG